CUCAGUGGGUUAAGGAUCUGGUGUUGCUGUGAGCUGUGGUGUAGGUCACAGAUGUGGCUUAGAUCCUGCAUUGCUGUGGCUGUCGUGUAGGCCAGCAACUAUAUCACUGCUGUGGUACAGGUUUGAUCCCUGGCGCUGGAACUUGGGUGUGCUGUGGGCACAGUCAAAAACAUUAAAAAUUUAAAAACUGAGGCAUAUUAAAAUUUUUAAAAGUUCAUUUGAGCAAAAAUGGAUUUGCAUGUAGAAGCACCCAGCCAGAAGUGGUGAGGGGUGCUCUACCAACUGGAGUUUGGGGGAAACAUAUAGUGAGAAGCUGGAAGCAAAACAAGGAGGUUAUUUGAUUGGCUGUAGCUUUACCAUAUUGGGCAGCUUGUGAUUGGGUGUCCUUAGGUUUUGACUGUUCAUCUUGAGGCAUUACAGGCUGAGGUUUUAGUUUGCUUACAUCAGCUGCUACGAUAUUAGCACAUCUCAAUCUAAUGGGUCUCCUGACUAAUGAAUUUCAUACAAGGUAGAGUGAAGGUCCUGCCUGGGCGAUGGGUUUAUGAGCCUCUAAUGCCUUGAAUCCCAGCCCUGUAUGGCUGCCUCCCAGCAGAGCAGGGCCACACCAAACCUAGAGGGCAGAUAAGGCCAACACUUACACGCAGUAAUGGUCGGGUAUCUUAGUUGCACCAGCCUGGGCUGCCAUGGCCAGUGCUACUCUGCGUUUGUGUCCAUGAAAGAGUGCAGAGUCGGUGGUGGGCAGAAUGGUCAAAGCCCUCCGUGGGCUGGUGUGUGUGUGGGGGGUGCCUGGCCUUAGCAGUCCCAGUUCCGUUCAGGAUUCCCAGCUAGUGUUCGGGGUUCCUUUUCUGCUCUUGCCAGUGGUUCAUCAUGUAACCGGCAGAGUGAAACUUACCUUUUCCUGAUAAUGGUCAUAUUCAUAGAAUCACAAGGUACCGUUGUUAAAACGUAGCUGACCUGGGUGAGGAGAAAUUAUUUGUUCUAAGAAGGACUGAGUCAGCAUUAUGAGUUCCUUAACACCUAAAGACAGAAACAACAGAAUGUCCAAGUGUGUCCCCUACAUGUGGUCCAUUUUAGUCAUUGAAAAACUCUGCUUUUCCACCACCCUGCAUGUGUUCUACACCUGCAGCUCAAGAGGAAGAAUCAAGAGAAAUACCCCACACCCACCACCCUGCCUGAUUUUGGAGGACUUCAGGGAGAGGUAAUAGGUGAUUAUUUCUUGUUCUUCUUCUUUUUCUUCAGAGUCAGAGCUGUGCUUCCAGCAUCGCUGUAAAAGAUGAUGCGAUGGCAUCGAUUUGGUUGAAAAGCAAAGCAGAUAGGGUUCUGAUUGUUCUUUUCCACUCCUUCGCUGUGACUGAAAUCAGGAGUCCUGGCUUCUUGCCUGAUUAGGGUUUGAGAUGUGAAGCAGAUCACUGAAGUGUGUCCGCACAGCCCAGCACGGGCAGCCAUCCCGGCGAAAUCCUGAUGUCUGCGUGUACUUCCACAGCUGCUUUCUUUUUGUUUGUGGUCAGCAAAAGGAAGGAACGGAUUCAAAGGAAGCCCUCUUUCUGAUGGAGCAGAUGCUGUGCUUAAGUGUGGAGAACGUUUACCCUGGCAGAAACACCCUGCCCAUAUGUCGAGGGCCGGUAAGGGGACUCCUGAGACUCCAAAGCAUGAGACCUGAUUCUUCUUCCAGCAGACCUGUUGCCCAGAGAGGCAGAGUGGGGCUGGCAGGAGGCCCAAGGCCCAGAACUCACCCUAGAAACUCAGCAAUAAGUCCAGAGCGGGAGGUACAGCCCGGCUGCAGCCCUUUCCAUCUUGUGUCCAGAGUCCCUGCUCUCUUGUUUGCCUCCAGGAUGAGGGUGAUAGUGACCUGACUUUCAACUGCCUCACCAACAUAAAGGACUAAGAAAGAUCCAUGAACUCUAGAAACUUUGGGUCCCACAUAGAUGGUUCAUUUCUGGCUUCAUCUACUCUCCAAGUUGUGAUGUUCCAUAGGUAACUGUGAGCAGGGCGUUAAUAAUUUUGAAAAAUAAGUAUGCGGUGGAUGCUUACAAUUCACCUGGUCCCGUGAGAAGUGUUUUUAUGCCACUUCAUCCUCAUGCGUCUUUUGAAUUUAGGCACUGUUAUCCACGUUACAUAGAAGAGGAAAAUGAGCCUGACUCACAGUUAUCCAGAGUUAGGCUUUGAACUCAGAAAAGGUGGAUUCUAAUGGCCAGGCCGAGUUCACUGAGUCUUCUGUUCUCCUGGUUGGUGUGUGACAGAAAGACAUGCCUUGCAGCGGGGCCCUGCUUACUUAGAUUAUCUUGUUGCCUAAUACAUGUGUUUUACAUCCUUUGCAAUAGACAGCUCAUCUAAUUAACUAACUGAGACUCAGUGAUCAGCUCCAGGCAGGCAAACAAAAUCAUGCGUUCCUAUAAUGAUAACAGUAGAUUGACUUUGGUAACAAAAGUUGCUGCUUUGACAAUGGGUUUUCUCAUAGGAAACUUCAAGCUGUGUCACCAGACACCUUACACAUAAGAUGUAGACAUAGGACAGUUAAGCAGGACGUAGAGAAGUCCUCAGCAUUACUCCUAUCUCCUGACCAGUGAUUCUACUUAAAGAAAUUUAUCUGAAGAAGAUGAUCAGAGAUGUGAUUUAAAAAAAAUGCAUAGGAGUUCCCGUUGUGGCUCAGCAGUUAACGAAUCUGACUAGGAACCAGGGGGUUGCGGGUUCGAUCCCUGGCUUUGCUCAGUGGGUUGAGGAUUUGGCGUUGCCAUGACCUGUGCCUGGGUUGCAGACACGGCUCGGAUCCCGCAUUGCUGUGGCUCUGGUGUAGGCCAGCGGCUACAGCUCCAAAUGGACCCCUAGCCUGGGAACCUCCAUAUGCUGAGCAGGCAGCCCUAGAAAAG
Molecule: long non-coding RNA, 2867 nt
Filed under: Sus scrofa (pig)
Lineage: Eukaryota; Metazoa; Chordata; Mammalia; Artiodactyla; Suidae
Description: lncRNA (ENSSSCG00015059037.1)
Source: RNAcentral